This 233-nucleotide non-coding RNA is filed under the name Pelotomaculum thermopropionicum. RNAcentral's name for it is "T-box sequence". It matches the Rfam family "T-box leader". From Rfam's summary of the family: Uncharged tRNA acts as the effector for transcription antitermination of genes in the T-box leader family. T-boxes are found upstream of many aminoacyl-tRNA synthetase genes and some amino acid biosynthetic genes usually in Gram-positive bacteria. The record is from RNAcentral. Lineage: Bacteria; Bacillati; Bacillota; Clostridia; Eubacteriales; Desulfotomaculaceae.
AUGAAAGUGAUGACCGGGGCGAGUAAAUGUGCUUGGCCUGCGUCAGGGAGGGAAGGCCGGUGACUGAAAGCUUUCCUUGCAGGCGGACGUUGAAAAACACCCGGGAGCGGCCCCCGAAAGUGUGAUUAAGCAUUAGUAGGCCGGCCCGGUAACCUCCGUUAUCAGGUUGUAAAAGGGAUAACUAAGGUUAUCCGAAAAAGGGUGGCACCACGGAUGAAAAAUCCGUCCCUGGC